RNAcentral lists this ribosomal RNA (152 nucleotides) under Armillaria gallica. Its description in RNAcentral is "partial large subunit ribosomal RNA". It matches the Rfam family "Eukaryotic large subunit ribosomal RNA", at positions 1 to 151 of the family's 3401-position model. RNAcentral also lists the same sequence under 1 other name. The record is from RNAcentral. Lineage: Eukaryota; Fungi; Basidiomycota; Agaricomycetes; Agaricales; Physalacriaceae.
UUGACCUCAAAUCAGGUAGGACUACCCGCUGAACUUAAGCAUAUCAAUAAGCGGAGGAAAAGAAACUAACAAGGAUUCCCCUAGUAACUGCGAGUGAAGAGGGAAAAGCUCAAAUUUAAAAUCUGGCAGCUUCGCUGUCCGAGUUGUAAUUU